This 468-nucleotide ribosomal RNA is filed under the name uncultured bacterium. RNAcentral describes it as "partial 16S ribosomal RNA". It matches the Rfam family "Bacterial small subunit ribosomal RNA", at positions 28 to 507 of the family's 1533-position model. The record is from RNAcentral.
GACGAACGCUGGCGGCGUGCUUAACACAUGCAAGUCGAACGGAAAGGCCCUGCUUUUGUGGGGUGCUCGAGGGGCGAACGGGUGAGUAACACGUGAGUAACCUGCCCUUGACUUUGGGAUAACUUCAGGAAACUGGGGCUAAUACCGGAUAGGAGCUCCUGCUGCAUGGUGGGGGUUGGAAAGUUUCGGCGGUUGGGGAUGGACUCGCGGCUUAUCAGCUUGUUGGUGGGGUAGUGGCUUACCAAGGCUUUGACGGGUAGCCGGCCUGAGAGGGUGACCGGCCACAUUGGGACUGGGAUACCGCCCAGACUCCUACGGGAGGCAGCAGUGGGGGAUAUUGCACAAUGGACGGAAGCCUGAUGCAGCAACGCCGCGUGCGGGAUGACGGCCUUCGGGUUGUAGGCCGCUUUCGCCUGUGACGAAGCGUGAGUGACGGUAAUGGGUAACGAAGCACCGGCUAACUACGUG